AUUUUCCCUGAGAGAAUGAGUUCCUAGUGGGAGCCCAACACUGGUCAAAGCAAGUCUGUUCUGUCAAGGACUCUAAGAGACUCUUUCCUUCUGGCGUCUUUCUUCUAGACUCAGUUAACCAAGAGAAGGGACUCAAGGUGUACAUUUGUCUUGAAAGUGAGGCCUCACAGCAUCAACUAGGGGAAAGUACUAAGAGUAAGUCUAAGGCUGACUUUCUUCCUUCAGGCUCUCAGGAUGGCAGUUGUUCUGGAUCCACCUGGAUUCCUCAUGUUGCUGUUGCCAGGCACAUCCAUGCCAACCUCCAGGUGUCUCCUUUCCAUCAAAAAGGUGGUGCUAUUUAGACAGGACUUUCCUCAGGAAUGCAAUGAUUAUUGUGAAAUCUGCAUAAUUUCACCUUUUGUCAGUCAUGAGACAGGAGCAGUCCUCCAUCAGAUGAUAAGGGUGCCUAAGUUACUUUCUCAGCCUUACAGGCAGCUCCAUAAGUGACCAUCCUGCCCCUCUUUGUUGGUUCUAUGAAAAGAAUUCAGGUUAUGUCAAUAAACAAAACAUUUAUGGUGAAAAAACAUAUGGGAAUGAGGAGAGCAAGUGCCUCAGGGGAUUAGAAAAAGGCCUACCUCAAGGCCUCAUGGAGAAGGUUUGUAUUCUGGUAUUUUGUGAUUAACAUGACUUAACUUCUGUCUCCUGUUGUUUCUGAGGAAUUUCUUUCUACAUGUGCAUUUUAUACUUUAUGACUAUGGCAU
This 740-nucleotide long non-coding RNA is filed under the name Homo sapiens (human). Its description in RNAcentral is "HSALNT0202747". Lineage: Eukaryota; Metazoa; Chordata; Mammalia; Primates; Hominidae. The record is from RNAcentral.